Long non-coding RNA from Dermacentor andersoni, 825 nucleotides. RefSeq lists it as uncharacterized. Lineage: Eukaryota; Metazoa; Arthropoda; Arachnida; Ixodida; Ixodidae. The record is from RefSeq and is a predicted model, not a curated record.
UCUGUUAUCGCGCGCUUGGGCUGCCUCGCGCCGGCGCGCCUGGCUACGCAGCUACGGCGCGGUACAUUCAACUCUCAGCGAAGCAGAUGUGCAUGACACAAGCAAUAUGCUGGCGAUAACCUUUGGAACAAUCUACAAAUCACGGAAGGCGGCUUCUCCCGAGAAAGCCUCUUAAUGCGGAAAAGCCUGCUUUGGUGAAUGCCUUUUCUGAAAGACAAGCCCAAGACUGGCGUCGCAUACAAACCAAUUCAUGCCCACACCUAAACCUCUUACACAAGAAGCACCCGACAUAUUACACGGACGCCUGCCCGUGGUGCGGUGCAGAACCCACGCUGGACCACACAACGUGGGAAUGUACGGCUCGGCCAAGGAACGUCAACUCACCUUUUCUAAGCGUCACGGACUUCGUACGGCAGUGCGAGGCACUACUACGGGUAGCCAAUUGGCCCUCCUGGACCAAGCUCUGCGAGCCGCAAGAGCCAGUGGAGCCCUGGACUAAGGGCCCCACCCAGACCUGCCAUAACUCCGAUUAACUGAUCAAUAAAGUUUUCUCUCUCUUGAAUGAAUGAAAAAAGAAAAAUAAAAGAAAUAAAAGAAAAACUGUCCCACUGUGGUUCUAAAAAGAAAUAUUUUCUGCUUCUCUCCCUUUCUUCAAAAACUUCAAUGAUUGAAGCCAAGUUUACCUUCAACGUGAUUGCAAUACAAUGCUACAAAGAGGAGCAACUCAAUUCUUCUUUUAGGAAACACAGUAGUCACAGCUCUACAGCUGUCUUGGUUCGGUUUCCUUCCAGACCCUGACCCGAGCUACUGCGCCAGGCAAUCUAU